This 447-nucleotide ribosomal RNA is filed under the name uncultured bacterium. Its description in RNAcentral is "bacterial SSU rRNA". It matches the Rfam family "Bacterial small subunit ribosomal RNA", at positions 15 to 507 of the family's 1533-position model. The record is from RNAcentral.
GAUCAUGGCUACAGAACGAACGCUGGCGGCAUGCCUAACACAUGCAAGUCGAACGAAGGCUUCGGCCUUAGUGGCGCACGGGUGCGUAACGCGUGGGAACCUGCCCCUCGGUUCGGAAUAACAGUUAGAAAUGACUGCUAAUACCGGAUGAUGACUUCGGUCCAAAGAUUUAUCGCCGAGGGAUGGGCCCGCGUAGGAUUAGCUAGUUGGUGGGGUAAAGGCCUACCAAGGCGACGAUCCUUAGCUGGUCUGAGAGGAUGAUCAGCCACACUGGGACUGAGACACGGCCCAGACUCCUACGGGAGGCAGCAGUGGGGAAUAUUGGACAAUGGGCGAAAGCCUGAUCCAGCAAUGCCGCGUGAGUGAUGAAGGCCUUAGGGUUGUAAAGCUCUUUUACCAGGGAUGAUAAUGACAGUACCUGGAGAAUAAGCUCCGGCUAACUCCGUG